Molecule: ribosomal RNA, 245 nt
Filed under: Amblyomma lepidum
Lineage: Eukaryota; Metazoa; Arthropoda; Arachnida; Ixodida; Ixodidae
Description: partial small subunit ribosomal RNA
Source: RNAcentral
UGAGGAAUUUCCUCUGUAAUGGAUAAAACACCUAAAUCUUACUAAAAUUUGUUAAAUCAGUUUGUAUACCACUAUUAAAGUAGUAUUUCAUAACUAUUACUUAAAUUUUUAAAAAAAAUAAAUUAAGUCAAGGUGCAGCAAAAGUUUUAGGAUGAAGUGAAUUACAAUUCUUUUUAGUUUUAAAAAUUUUUUUGAAAAAAUUUUUAAAAUAGGAUUUGAAAGUAAAAAAUCAAUAGUAUGGCUUU